Molecule: long non-coding RNA, 2228 nt
Filed under: Homo sapiens (human)
Lineage: Eukaryota; Metazoa; Chordata; Mammalia; Primates; Hominidae
Description: HSALNT0304755
Source: RNAcentral
CUUUGGUGACAUCAGUAGGUUGCCUAGGUCCAUGAGGACAGCAGCCACCACUGGGGGGGACAUCUGCCACCACCCGGAGCCCAACUCAAGCCCAAUGGGCAAUGGGAAGGAGGUGGGCAGAACCAGAUGCUGGCCAGGUUGGCCAUGUGGCCUUUUCCUUUUUCCUCUUUCAGAAGGAGAAAAACCAAGGUCCACUUUUUUUGCCACAUACUCAUGGGACAGAGGGGGUUUUUUCCUUUGGGAAGAAGUCUAAACAAUGAAGUGGGGCGUGGGGCCAGCUUUAUCACCUGAGGAAGUAACCAGGUUCUUUUUUCUCCCCUCCCUGCAAUUUAGCAGAUAGGUGGGUCUCUUGGCCUGUGGCUCCUUCUUUACCCAGCAAGUCUCCCUCCCCAGAGAUGAGGAUCCCUGUAAUUACCUGAGGUCCUCUCCCUCCCUUGUCCCCACACCACCUCCCAGGUCCUCUCCCUCUCUAGAAGAAAUGGUCCAAGUUACAAGGCAGACACUACUGAAGCUCCAGAGAAGUCUCAGUAGCUUCUAGUUUCUGGCAUUUUGGUCACUGGCAUUUGGCAAAAUGGCCCUUGAUUUAACCAUAAAAGAGGAAUUUGCUGAUACUCAACCAGUCCGCCCCGACUAGUUGUGGACGAUGUCUGCCAGCUGCCUACAGAAUCCACCCUUUUCCUUUGGAAUUCCCUCCUUCUCCUGACGCUGACAAUACCCUUGCCCUUCAGAGGACCUGCCUUCCCACUCUCCAUUGGACACUGUGGAACUUCUUGGCGUCCAGUCCCAAGGGCACAGCCACCGCAGGACUUCACGUCUGCCUGCCUGAGCAGGGCUGGUGUCUUAUGAAUGGCAGCUGAGACCCAGUUCAGGCUCACGACCUCAUAUCACAGGUCAGAAAACAAAAGAACAAUUGAGUUCUUAUGAAAACUUGCCAGAUUUCCAUACAAAAGUUUCCUUCUUGAAAUCCCUUUUUUUUUUUUUUUUUUACUUUUCAUCAUAGAAAUGAACUCAAAGGAAAAUGACUAAUCACCGACCUACUCAGAAUCAUUGGUCCCCGGCAAGCAAGGGUGAUCCUGCAUCAAUCUAUUAAUUUUCAUUUCCAGGGUUCUCAGAUGUAAAACAAAUGUUUGAUGUAAUCCGCAACACUGCUCUGUUAUAAUUAAACAACCUCCUACUGCCUAAAUUGGCAAAGCACUCCAUCGAUCAGUGAUAAAUGUGGUCCUUGGGAGACUGCUUUUAUGUUUGUUUCACUCAUGGGAAAAUGGCCACAACCCUUUUGUAAGAUUCCUCGGCUGCUGCUCUCCCCAGGUUACAAUCAUAGUAACUGCUGCUUCUGGGAUGCCUCGCUGUAAUCCUCAUGUUCAAUGAUGGCUCAAUGGAUAUGUGCUUGAAGGAGAGUGAGUGAUGGGGAGUCUACAGUUAUGAAUAAAAUAUAUUCAAGUCAAUAAACCCUUCCUGGGUUCCUUUGCCUCACCAUUUUAUGCACAAUUUAUGAAGCACCCUACACAUACCAGGAGCUAUUUGCAAUGUUUAAGAUGUGGGAGCCCCCAUAAUUCUAAAUAUGUCAUGUAUCAUCUACUUUCCUCUUUGCAAAGUGGAGGGGUUGGAUUCCUGCCAGGCCUGAUAAUAUAGAUCUGCUGUUCACACAUAGCAUAUAGGAGGCCCUGAUGACUUCCUACUCAUCGCUUCCCUCAUUGUCCAAUUGUUGGGGCCAUUGGGCUGCUGUAUUCAGGCCAGCCCUUGCCCUAGAUCCUAGGAUCCAGCCAGACUUGAGGCAAGGAGACACACUGCUGUCAGUGUUCCAUCACCCCUAUGGUUAGGCCUCACUGGCUCUGCCACAGUUCAGACACCAAGGCUCCUGCCUUAGUUUUCUAAGAGAUGUUCCCUACAUUGCACCUGAAUUCAUCCAGUUCAUUUUCACAGAAUAUACUUGACCUAGUUUAAGCAGAAAGGGAUGUAUCACAGGCUACUAAAUGGCUUAUGAAAUCCUUGGAAAAGCUGAAUAAAUAGACCUUAGGGGGAGCCCCUAGAGCUACUCUCAAAGCUAUCUAGCAGAACCUGGCCACAUUUCCAACCAGGAAGCUGCCUGCAGAAUCAGCAAACAGCCCCCACAUCCGCUGGCUUCAGAACCACCCACCUCUGCUCUCCCCACACAAGUGAGCAGACAUCUCAGCCCUGCCUUUCUGGCCACCUGACUGCUUGCAAAUUAAAUCUCUCCCAUUUGCACC